GGUGCUUGCACCUGAUGAUUUUGGUCGCCAACGAGUGGCGGACGGGUGAGUAACACGUAGGUAACCUGCCCAGAAGCGGGGGACAACAUUUGGAAACAGAUGCUAAUACCGCAUAACAACGUUGUUCGCAUGAACAACGCUUAAAAGAUGGCUUCUCGCUAUCACUUCUGGAUGGACCUGCGGUGCAUUAGCUUGUUGGUGGGGUAAUGGCCUACCAAGGCGAUGAUGCAUAGCCGAGUUGAGAGACUGAUCGGCCACAAUGGGACUGAGACACGGCCCAUACUCCUACGGGAGGCAGCAGUAGGGAAUCUUCCACAAUGGGCGCAAGCCUGAUGGAGCAACACCGCGUGAGUGAAGAAGGGUUUCGGCUCGUAAAGCUCUGUUGUUAAAGAAGAACACGUAUGAGAGUAACUGUUCAUACGUUGACGGUAUUUAACCAGAAAGUCACGGCUAACUACGUGCCAGCAGCCGCGGUAAUACGUAGGUGGCAAGCGUUAUCCGGAUUUAUUGGGCGUAAAGAGAGUGCAGGCGGUUUUCUAAGUCUGAUGUGAAAGCCUUCGGCUUAACCGGAGAAGUGCAUCGGAAACUGGAUAACUUGAGUGCAGAAGAGGGUAGUGGAACUCCAUGUGUAGCGGUGGAAUGCGUAGAUAUAUGGAAGAACACCAGUGGCGAAGGCGGCUACCUGGUCUGCAACUGACGCUGAGACUCGAAAGCAUGGGUAGCGAACAGGAUUAGAUACCCUGGUAGUCCAUGCCGUAAACGAUGAGUGCUAGGUGUUGGAGGGUUUCCGCCCUUCAGUGCCGGAGCUAACGCAUUAAGCACUCCGCCUGGGGAGUACGACCGCAAGGUUGAAACUCAAAGGAAUUGACGGGGGCCCGCACAAGCGGUGGAGCAUGUGGUUUAAUUCGAAGCUACGCGAAGAACCUUACCAGGUCUUUGACAUCUUGCGCCAACCCCUAAGAGAUAAGGGCGUGUUCCUUGCGGGGAACAGCCAUUGACAGGGGGGUGGCCAUGGGUCCG
RNAcentral lists this ribosomal RNA (1020 nucleotides) under Limosilactobacillus fermentum. RNAcentral's name for it is "bacterial SSU rRNA". It matches the Rfam family "Bacterial small subunit ribosomal RNA", at positions 63 to 1062 of the family's 1533-position model. The record is from RNAcentral. Lineage: Bacteria; Bacillati; Bacillota; Bacilli; Lactobacillales; Lactobacillaceae.